UUCCGGUUGAUCCUGCCAGAGGUCACUGCUAUCGGUGUCCGAUUAAGCCAUGCGAGUCGAGAGGUGUAAGACCUCGGCAGACUGCUCAGUAACACGUGGAUAACCUGCCCAAGGGUCCGGGAUAACCCCGGGAAACUGGGGAUAAUACCGGAUGGGUCACCAGUGCUGGAAUGCUUGGUGGUCGAAAGGUGACGCCUUUGGAUGGGUCUGCGGCGGAUUAGGUUGACGCCGGUGUAACGUACCGGCGUGCCUGUAAUCCGUACGGGUUGUGGGAGCAAGAGCCCGGAGAUGGAUUCUGAGACACGAAUCCAGGCCCUACGGGGCGCAGCAGGCGCGAAAACUCUACAAUGCAGGCAACUGCGAUAGGGGGACAUCGAGUGGCAUCCACCUUGGGUGUCUGUCCAACCGUCUAAAAAACGGUUGUUAGCAAGGGCCGGGCAAGACCGGUGCCAGCCGCCGCGGUAAUACCGGCGGCUCGAGUGGUGGCCGAUAUUAUUGAGUCUAAAGGGUCCGUAGCCGGCUUUGCAAGUCCCCUGGGAAAUCCGGCGGCUUAACCGUUGGGCUUUCAUGGGAUACUACAUUGCUUGGGACUGGGAGAGGUAGGAGGUACUCGGGGGGUAGGGGUGAAAUCCUGUAAUCCUCCGGGGACCACCGGUGGCGAAGGCGUCCUACCAGAACAGGUCCGACGGUGAGGGACGAAAGCUAGGGGCACGAACCGGAUUAGAUACCCGGGUAGUCCUAGCCGUAAACGAUGCCCGCUAGGUGUCACGACGGUCGUGAAUCGUCGUGGUGCCGUAGGGAAGCCGCGAAGCGGGCCACUUGGGAAGUACGGCCGCAAGGCUGAAACUUAAAGGAAUUGGCGGG
Molecule: ribosomal RNA, 864 nt
Filed under: uncultured Methanocella sp.
Lineage: Archaea; Methanobacteriati; Methanobacteriota; Methanomicrobia; Methanocellales; Methanocellaceae
Description: bacterial SSU rRNA
Rfam family: Archaeal small subunit ribosomal RNA
Source: RNAcentral